Molecule: unclassified non-coding RNA, 144 nt
Filed under: soil metagenome
Description: partial internal transcribed spacer 1
Source: RNAcentral
UAAUAAGUGUUUUAUGGCACUUUUUAAAUCCAUAUCCACCUUGUGUGCAAUGUCAGUCGAUCUUCUUCAUUGAGAUCGACCAAACAUCAACCUUUAUCUUUUAACUCUUGUCUGAAAAAUAUUAUGAAUAAACAAUUCAAAAUA